RNAcentral lists this ribosomal RNA (253 nucleotides) under uncultured bacterium. Its description in RNAcentral is "partial 16S ribosomal RNA". It matches the Rfam family "Bacterial small subunit ribosomal RNA", at positions 524 to 776 of the family's 1533-position model. The record is from RNAcentral.
UACGUAGGGGGCAAGCGUUAUCCGGAUUUACUGGGUGUAAAGGGAGCGUAGACGGCAAUGCAAGUCUGGAGUGAAAGGCGGGGGCCCAACCCCCGGACUGCUCUGGAAACUGUAUAGCUGGAGUGCAGGAGAGGUAAGUGGAAUUCCUAGUGUAGCGGUGAAAUGCGUAGAUAUUAGGAGGAACACCGGUGGCGAAGGCGGCUUACUGGACUGUAACUGACGUUGAGGCUCGAAAGCGUGGGGAGCAAACAGG